UGUGUGUGUUAGGUGUAUAGGCGCAUAUCGUAUCGUAUAUAAAUAUAUAUGUAUAUAUAUUACAAAGUUAAUUGUUUUUGUCUCAGUGUGAAUAUUACAAUCGUUUCUCUUGCACAGACAUGCACAAACAUGCGCAUUUUUGCACAUUCUUGCACAUUUUUUACACAAUCUUGCACAAUCUUGUGUUUAUUUGCACAUUCUUGCACAUUUCUGCUCAUUCUUGCACAAUCCUGCACAAUCUUGCACAUUCUUGCACAAUUCCUGUCCAUUUAGAGCUAUCGCUUCUGUUUUUUUUUGCAUUUUUUGUUCCAUUGUCGUGAUUUUUUUUUUUGUUUUUUGGGGAUUUGUAUUUAAAUUUAAGAAGAAAGCGGAAGAAAGCAAGGAAAACCUCUAUUUAUAAAAUAAGGUUGCACGUAAACACUUGUUGAACGAAACUCUAGUCGGGAAACACUCCUCCCCCCUUCGGCCGACACUCUAAAAAAAUGCUCGACCUAAUUACAAAUUACAAAACGAAGAGCGCUUUCUCUCUCUCUCUCUCUAUAUAUAUAUAUAUGUUAAAUAUAUAAUAAAAAAAAACAUUACAAAAAAGUAGUUGUAAUUGAACUUACAAAAAAAAAAAGGAAAGUAAGAAAAGGGGAGAAGGAGGAGGAGGAGUUGUAGAAGUACUUUCUCGUAAGAGAGAUACGAGUAGAAUGGGGAAUACGAAUAGGUAGGUAGGAGGAGGAGGUGUACCUCCAUGUGUCCACAUGCUCUCCGCAUCCACAAUCCCUUCUUCCACUGUCUGUCUGCUUCUUCUAGUUGAGUUGUGGGUGGUUUUGGGUGGUUUCUUGUUGUUGUUGUUGUUGUUGCAACUAAUUACUGUUGCUGACGACCGCCACGGGUGCCACCGGGGCCACCGUCGCACUGUUGUGGUUG
This 915-nucleotide small RNA is filed under the name Drosophila ananassae. RNAcentral describes it as "GF27111". Lineage: Eukaryota; Metazoa; Arthropoda; Insecta; Diptera; Drosophilidae. The record is from RNAcentral.